GGAUUGGGAGGGUUCUACGGAACCCGUUUGGUGAAUCUAGUGCCGAGAAAAGCCUUCUAUGUGUUGAAUUUCUAGUACCCGUACCCCAAACCGACACAGGUGGGUGGGUAGAGCAUACCUAGGGGCGCGUGAUAACUCUCUCUAAGGAACUCGGCAAAAUGGCCCUGUAACUUCGGGAUAAGGGGUGCCUGCGUGAGCAGGCCGCAGUGAAAUGGCUCUGGCGACUGUUUACCAAAAACACAGGUCUCUGCUAAGUCGUAAGACGAUGUAUAGGGGCUGACUCCUGCCCAGUGCCGGAAGGUUAAGGAAGUUGGUUAGCGCAAGCGAAGCUGGCGACCGAAGCCCCGGUGAACGGCGGCCGUAACAAUAACGGUCCUAAGGUAGCGAAAUUCCUUGUCGGGUAAGUUCCGACCCGCACGAAAGGAGUAACGAUCAGAGCGCUGUCUCGGAGAGAGACACGGCGAAAUAGGAUUGUCCGUGAAGAUACGGACUACCUGCACCCGGACAGAAAGACCCUAUGAAGCUUUACUGUAACUUGGAAUUGUGUUCGGACUUUGUCUGCGCAGAAUAGGUGGGAGGCUAUGAAACGUUCCUCGCGGGGAACUGGAGCCAUCGUUGAGAUACCACUCUGGCAGAGUCUGGAUUCUAACCUACGGGGACAGUUCCAGGUGGGCAGUUUGACUGGGGCGGUCGCCUCCUUAAAUGUAACGGAGGCGCGCAAAGGUUCCCUCAGGCUGGUUGGAAAUCAGCCAUAGAGUGUAAAAGCAUAAGGGAGCUUGACUGUGAGACCUACAAGUCGAGCAGGGACGAAAGUCGGCUUUAGUGAUCCGACGGCACUGAGUGGAAGGGCCGUCGCUCAACGGAUAAAAGUUACUCUAAGGAUAACAGGCUGAUCUCCCCCAAGAGUUCACAUCGACGGGGAGGUUUGGCACCUCGAUGUCGGCUCGUCGCAACCUGGGGCGGUAGUACGUCCCAAGGGUUGGGCUGUUCGCCCAUUAAAGCGGCACGUGAGCUGGGUUCAGAACGUCGUGAGACAGUUCGGUCCAUAUCCGGUGUAGGCGUAGGAGCAUUGAAAGGAUCUCUCCUUAGUACGAGAGGACCGGGAGGGACGUACCUCUGGUGUACCUGUUAUCGUGCCAACGGUAAACGCAGGGUAGCCAUGUACGGAGUGGAUAACCGCUGAAAGCAUCUAAGUGGGAAGCCCACCUUAAGAUGAGUGCUCCCUUGAGGCCACGGGAAGACGACCCGUAUGAUAGGCGCUAGGUGGAAGUGCAGUAAUGCAUGCAGCCGAGGCGUACUAAUAGGCCGAUGGC
This 1313-nucleotide ribosomal RNA is filed under the name metagenome. RNAcentral's name for it is "bacterial LSU rRNA". It matches the Rfam family "Bacterial large subunit ribosomal RNA", at positions 1563 to 2925 of the family's 2925-position model. The record is from RNAcentral.